Molecule: ribosomal RNA, 420 nt
Filed under: uncultured archaeon
Lineage: Archaea
Description: bacterial SSU rRNA
Rfam family: Archaeal small subunit ribosomal RNA
Source: RNAcentral
CCUACGGGCGGCAGCAGGCGCGAAAACUUUACAAUGCAGGAAACUGUGAUAAGGGAACCCCGAGUGCCCGUAUACGCGGGCUGUCCGGGUGUAUAAAAAGCAUCUGAAGAAAGGGCCGGGCAAGACCGGUGCCAGCCGCCGCGGUAAUACCGGCGGCUCGAGUGGUGACCACUUUUAUUGGGCUUAAAGCGUUCGUAGCUGGACUCUUAAGUCUCUUGGGAAAUCCCGCGGCUCAACCGUGGGGCGUUUAAGAGAUACUGGGAGUCUAGGAACCGGGAGAGGUAAGAGGUACUUCGGGGGUAGAAGUGAAAUUCUGUAAUCCUCGAGGGACCACCGAUGGCGAAGGCAUCUUACCAGAACGGCUUCGACAGUGAGGAACGAAAGCUGGGGGAGCGAACGGGAUUAGAUACCCCCGUAGUC